AGUGAACGCUGGCGGUAGGCCUAACACAUGCAAGUCGAACGGCAGCACAGUAAGAGCUUGCUCUUACGGGUGGCGAGUGGCGGACGGGUGAGGAAUGCAUCGGAAUCUACUUUUUCGUGGGGGAUAACGUAGGGAAACUUACGCUAAUACCGCAUACGACCUACGGGUGAAAGCAGGGGAUCUUCGGACCUUGCGCGAUUGAAUGAGCCGAUGUCGGAUUAGCUAGUUGGCGGGGUAAAGGCCCACCAAGGCGACGAUCCGUAGCUGGUCUGAGAGGAUGAUCAGCCACACUGGAACUGAGACACGGUCCAGACUCCUACGGGAGGCAGCAGUGGGGAAUAUUGGACAAUGGGCGCAAGCCUGAUCCAGCCAUACCGCGUGGGUGAAGAAGGCCUUCGGGUUGUAAAGCCCUUUUGUCGGGAAAGAAAAGCAGCAGGUUAAUACCCCGCUGUUCUGACGGUACCCAAAGAAUAAGCACCGGCUAACUUCGUG
RNAcentral lists this ribosomal RNA (492 nucleotides) under uncultured bacterium. RNAcentral describes it as "partial 16S ribosomal RNA". It matches the Rfam family "Bacterial small subunit ribosomal RNA", at positions 29 to 507 of the family's 1533-position model. The record is from RNAcentral.